Molecule: long non-coding RNA, 24694 nt
Filed under: Trifolium pratense (red clover)
Lineage: Eukaryota; Viridiplantae; Streptophyta; Magnoliopsida; Fabales; Fabaceae
Description: long non-coding RNA (TPRA_LNC002695)
Source: RNAcentral
CAUGUGUCAAAACAGUAAGAACAGAUAAUGGCCCAGAGUUUCUUAUUCCUCAUUUUUAUGCAUCUAAGGGUAUCAACCACCAAACUAGCUGUGUUGAAACUCCCCAACAAAAUGGGAGAGUGGAACGCAAACAUCAACACAUGCUUAAUGUGGGUAGAGAUUUAUUGUUUCAGUCAAAAUUACCAAAAAAAAUUGGUCCUAUGCAUUAGUUCAUGUUGUCUUCAUAAUUAAUCGUGUCAAUACACCCUUGUUACAACAUAAGUCACCUUGUCAAUUACUAUACUCUAAACCUCCUGACCUUAAUCAACUCAAGGUGUUUGGCUCUUUGUGUUAUGCUUCCACCCUACACAACCAUAGAACCAAACUUGAUUGUCGAGCCAGAAAAUGUAUAUUUUUAGGUUACAAAACAGGAAUGAAAGGUGUCAUACUUUAUGAUCUCAAUAGUAAGAAAGUGUUUGUAUCUCGAGAAGUCAUACACCAGGAUCAUAUCCUGCCCUACCAUAGCACAUCUUCUUCUACGCCAUGUACUUACCACACCUCUUCUCCAAAUAAACUCUCAACACCUAACACCUCUCUUUAUGAUGACUUUCCUGUUACCACUACUAACCCAACUAUACCUUCACCUACCACUACUGAACCCAUAAACCACCAUACCUCUGACACAACUCCAUCCUACAGACACAUUGCUUGACACUAAGUUAUCCCUCACAUUGAAUCUACUACUACUGAUGCUUCAGUUACACAUUCACCACCCAUUACUACUCCUGCACCAGCUCUUAGAAGAUCAACUAGAGUGUCCACCAAACCUCCACACCUCACAGAUUACUUGUGCAAUCUUUCAAGCAAUUCUCCUGAGCAAUCUCCUUCAGGUAUCUUCUAUCCCCUGUCUGAUUAUCACUCCUAUUCUAAUGUUUCUACUACUCUUGGUAAGUUUGCUUUGGCAUUAACUGCCACUGUUGAACCUAAGUCCUAUAACGAGGCCAGCAAACACCAAUGCUGGAUUGAUGCGAUGGACAUAGAGUUAGAAGCUUUGAAACAGAAUAGAACCUUGGAUAUAUGUUGAUCCACCUCCACACAUCAAACCCAUAGGGAGCAAAUCGGUAUACAAGGUCAAACACAAGUCUGAUGGAUCCAUUGAAAGGUAUAAGGCACGUUUAGUGGCCAAAGGUUAUAAUCAAGUUGAGGGGCUUGAUUUCUUUGACACAUUUUCCCCAGUUGCCAAAAUUACCACAGUCAGGACCUUGAUUGCUAUAGCUUCUCUUAAAUCUUGGCAUUUACAUCAAAUGGAUGUGAAUAAUGCAUUUUUACAUGGAGAUUUACAAGAGGAUGUAUACAUGACUGUACCUCCAGGUGUGACUAGUCCCAAGCCAAAUCAAGUAUGCAAAUUACUCAAAUCUCUCUAUGGUCUUAAACAGGCUAGUAGGAAGUGGUAUGAACGACUCACUGCCUUAUUGGUUAAGCAACGUUACAAGCAAUCCAACUCUGGUCAUUCUUUAUUCACUUUAACCAACAAGUCAGAAUUCACUGCCCUUCUCGUUUACGUUGAUGACAUUAUUCUAGCUGGCAACUCUCUGGCUGAAUUUGAUAGGAUCAAAAGGAUCAUGGAUGAUGAGUUUAAAAUCAAGGAUUUGGGAAAGUUGAAGUACUUCCUUGGCAUAGAGGUAGCACAUUCUAAACAAGGAAUCUCUAUUUGCCAAAGAAAGUAUUGUUUGGAUUUAUUGCUUGAUACUGGCCUGAGCCUCACAGGUUCUAAACCUGCUCCUACACCACUUGACUCUUCUGUGAAACUAUACCAAGACUCAAGUGCUGCUUAUGAAGACAUAGGAGGUUACAGAAGACUCAUGGGGAAAUUGUUGUAUCUCACAACUACUAGACCAGACAUUGCAUUUGCCAUUCAACAACUUAGUCAAUUUUUAUCAUCUCCCACUAUUACUCAUUAUGACACUGCAUGUAGGGUGGUGAAAUACUUGAAGAGUAACCCAGGUAGAGGCAUGUCUUUACCCAGACAUUCUACUCUACAGUUAUCGGGUUUUGCUGAUGCUGAUUGGGCAAAUUGCAUUGAUACAAGGAGGUCAACUUCUGGAUACUGUUUUUUCUUAGGUUCUUCCCUAAUUUCUUGGAGCUAAGAAACAGAACAUUGUAUCUCGAAACUCAUCUGAAGCUGAGUAUCGGUCCCUUUCUUUUGCUACUUGUGAGAUGCAGUGGUUACUUUACUUGUUCCAUGACUUAGGCAUCACAUUUGACCGACUUCCAGUCCUUUAUUGUGACAAUCAAAGCGCAAUCCACAUUGCUGCCAAUCCUGUCAUCUACGAAUGCACUAAACAUCUUGAGAUCGAUUGCCAUUUGGUGCGUGACAAGGUUCAACAAGGAGUGUUCAAAUUGCUUCCAGUUUCCACCAAGUGUCAACUUGCAGACUUCUUCACUAAGACCUUGCCCCCUAAGACUUUCAAUUCAUUCAUUUCCAAGCUGGGUAUGAAUAACAUAUACCAUACUCCAGCUUGUGGGAGGGUAUUACAUGAUAAUAAUGAUCAAGUGCUGGAGCAUGAUAACAAUAGUGUAGAACAUGUAGCUUAGUUCAUCUUGAUUAAUUUGUUAGAGGCAGUUAUGCCAGCUAAGCUAGUCAGUUACACAGUUGGCAUUGUAUAUAAGCUAACUCUCUUUGUAACUCUCAUUGUAACAUUUCAUUUUUCUCAAUUCAUUCUAAUAGAUUUCUCAUUUUCUCUCAUGAGUUCUUAUUCUUUUCUCUCCAUUGGUACCAUCUUCAAGAAAUGGAACUUCUAUCAUAUUGUGGAAAUGUAGGAAAACAAGUCUGUAACUUAAAAGGGAUAGCAGAAUUGGAUAUCACAGUACAGGCAUACACAAAAAAUACAAAGAUGAAAGAUAGUAUAGGCAAUUUGAGAGGCCUAGUCUGUCUCAAAGAUUCCAACUGAAUUCCAGUCUACCCCCACUCUUGCCUCACUUCUCCAUAAUAUUUCCUCAGCCACAUUGUCCACAUCACAACCCUCAACACCACUAACUGCCAACUCAGCAAGUGGUUACUCAGUUGGGCCUCCUCCUUCUUGGGUUGUAUCCCGCAUGUAACCCCCUUUCUCCUCACAUAGACUCGGGUUAUUUUAAGAGUUAUAUUAUAAUCAAAGAGGAUUGAAGAGAAUACAUUAUACAUUAUGAGUGGAAAGGGACAGAAAUCCCACAAAUAUAUUCAUAUUCAUAGUAUUCAUAAUAACAAUAUUAUCAAACAAAUCAAACCUUCAAUUUCUUCAUCGUCAAGAGGGGCAUCCUUGUCGAAUUCAAAUCGCUCCCAGCCCACACCUUUUUCUGAAUCACGUGCAGCUGCAUUUGAAAGUACAGGAUAAAAGAGAAUGAACAAAAUAUGGAUAAACUAUCUCAUUUGGCAAGGUAGGAAACAACUAUUUCUAACCACACUUUGACUUUGAGUAUGAAACAUUUUAAUUUUCUUCAACAAUACCCUACCCUCAUAUAUAUACCACUAGAUAGUGGCAACCUAACCCAGAGACUUAUACAAAAUGAUCAUACUGCAAGAAUAUCAAACAGGGAGACAACUCAAGCCAAAGAUUAAAUUUUCAGAAUUCAGAGUAGACCUAAACAGCAAGCUUUGGAAAUUUGAAAACUAUUCUUAAACAAGUACACAACAGCGAAGAUUUCCGGUAAAUUUAACGUCAGUCAUAAUAAGUAUAGAACAAAUGAAUUUUUCAUUAGAAACCAUAUGGUGCGCAUAGGUACAUUUGAGAAUAUGACCAACUACUUCCUAUAAGGUGCCAUACUAAGUAUAGAACAAAUGAAUACUUCCUAUAAGGUGUCAUGCUAAGUAUAGAACAAAUUAAUUUUUCAUUAGAAACCAUGGUGCACAUAGGUACAUUUGAGAAUAUGAACAACUACUUCCUAUAAGGUGUCAUAAUAAGUAUAGACCAAAUGAAUUUUUCAUUCAAAACCAUAUGGCGCGCAUAGUUACAUUUGAUUAUUUGAUAUAUGAACAACUACUUCAUAUACGGUCUUUAAUUGACUUACCAGUUUCAGAAAGCUGGACCUUCAUCUUGGCUUUGACUCUUUCAGCAGGUGCCUAUUCAUAAUUCAUAAUCACAAACAUACAUAAGUAACAUAACAAUGACUCAUUCAUAACACUUGAAACAUAAAACUUAAAUCUCAAUUAACCAAUUAAACUAGCAUAUAAAAAACAUAACAAUGAAAUUAAGAAGCUUUUAAUUACCAUAUUAUCAUAACCAUCAAUUAGUUUAGCAUAAUCAACACCAGCAUUCUUCCCCUUUGUCCUCUCACUCAUUUUCCCUCUUUCCCUAACAUCACUUGAUUUCACCUCAGACCGAUAUUGUGUCAGGGGAGAAACAAUUCUACUUCUACUCCUCCUUCUCCCUCUUUCCCUUUUCCUCCUAUCUCUACCCCUAUCACCAUCCGAAUUGCUUCGGCUUCGACUUCGGCUUCUAUCGGCAUCUCUAUCACGAUCCCUGUAUCUACUAUAUCUCUCUCUACUCCUACUUCUCCUCCUCCUUGAAUCCCUAUCCCUAUCUCUUUCCCUAUACCUAUCUCUGCUUCUACUCCUACUUCGCCUUUUUCUUCUAUCGCUAUCCCUAGAAGAAGAAUCGUGAUUUGUUUUCUCAGAAACCCUAGAUUCGGUUGUAGGUUUCUUUUUAAGCUUGUUUUGAAUGGAUUGGAGCUGGGAUUUUCUAUCGGGCUCGGAAGGGACGGUGGUGGUGGUUGCAGUGGUGGAGGAGGAAGAGGCUUUGACGAAUUGUGAGAGAAAUGAAGAGGAAGAAACAAUAGCUGAACCGGGUUUAGGAACGUCGUCGUUUGAUGUGGAUGUGGAAAAGCCGAGACCUUGUUUGAACUUUGCGGCUCCCUCACCUUUUCGAGUGAGCUCGUCGUAGUAUGCUGCAGCUUUUUCUUCUUCCAUCUUCCUCUAUCGCUGUUCUUUCACCAAUAUCAAACAAAGAUUAUUCAAAAAAAAAAAUUGAAGGAAAUUUUUUAAAUACAACUUUAAAAAAAAAUAUAUAUAUAUAUAUAUAUAUAUAUAUAUAUAUAUAUAUAUAUAUAUAUAUAUAUAUAUAUAUAUAUAUAUAUUGGCUAUAUAGGUCUUUACCCUUGCAAAGUAUGCGAAUUUUGUUUUAGUCUAUGUAAAAAAAAUUGUGAUUUUCCUCCCUCAUAAUGUGAACAUUAUUAUCUUUUACCUUCUCAAUAGACAACUUAUCAUAGAAUCUUCAUUUUUUUUUAUGAUGCGGCAAGCUGACUGUAUAUUUAUAUUUUUUAUAUUUAAUUUCAGCUCACUUUUUAAAAAUAAAAAAUAAAAAUCAUACAAUAACAAUAAUAAAAUUCAUCAUCUUCAUCACCAUAACCACCAUUUUUCCACUACCACCACUGCACCGCCAUUUCUCCACCACAAUCGCAACAAUACCAUUAUUUUUUUUUUACCCUUUCUACGUCAAAUGACCCUCUUUCACCAACAACUAUUUCAUAAAUUUUCACGCCAAGAACAAGAACGAACAACAACAAGACAAAUACAACAAUAACAACAACGUGAUUUGGUGAGUGACAAUGGUGAAUGGUGUGAGGAUGGUGAACAACAACCACAACAACAAAACCAUCGAUUCUAUAAAGCAAAUCUUAGAAAAACCAAAACUCGAACCCAUUUGUUUACAAAGCUCAAACAUAUUCUAAACUAAUAAAGCAACAACUCAAAAUCAUCUAAAAGACAAACUCUGAAAAAAUUUAACCCUUCAUAUUCUAAAACAUAAACCCAAAAAAUAGAAAUUCAAAUCGUUAAUUAAGAACAUGAAAUAACAAAUCAAAACCCCUAUCGUUAAUUUGAAGAAAAGAAAUACGAAACCCAUAAAUAAGAAACCCAAAUCGAAAAAUUAAGAACAUAAAUAUAAUUAAUUUGAAGAAACUCAUAUUGAAGCCUGAGAACUCAUAUCGUAAGUGUCGAUGUCGUCCUUGAAACCCAUAAAUUAAGAACAUAUACUAAUUUGUUUGUGCUUCUUUUCAUUUCAAAUUUACAAAUUUUUUUAUAUUUUAAUUUUUCAUUAAUUAAUUUGUUAACAACAACAUAAUGUACACAUACAUUUUAACACGGGUAAAAAAUUUGUUACAAAUGAGAUCUAUAUGUGGUAGGUAACAAUGAUUUUUAUUAAAUAAUUGUGUUAUAAUUAUGUUUUAUUAUUUAAAUGUUAUAACAAUGUCUAGUGGUGCAAUAAUAUCGUAAUUUGAACAAAAUUCUAUAUAUAUUUCACAUACUCAUACAUAAUUGAAAUUUGCUUUAUAAGAUUCCCCAGCUUAAAAUAUACAUCCUGCAAAAAGAAACAUAUUGUGUAAUAUUUCAAGAAAAUGAUGCUUAUAAUCAAAACUUCACUAUUACAACCACCUGUUAAAUUCGGGAUCAUAGUUGUAGUCUAUGACGCAAUAUCAACAUAUUUUAUAUAUUAGUUGUGUCUGUUUAAUGGCAAAUAUAUUUUCCUGGAUUUCCACGACACAAUCAUCAACCACAUGUGUGGAGAAAUUGUUAAACGAGUUUCUAUCAAACAAAACUCAUACACUGUUGAGGAGCAUGUUGUGUUCCUCACCCUUUUGAUCAGUGUUUUCAUAUAAUCUCACUUUGAACAACAAUAGUGUAUAAAAAAGGAAAAAAAGAAUAAGAAGAAGAAGAAGAUAAAUAUAUUUUGUAAGUAGAUACAUCGCAUCUAACUCAAUUUGAACCUCUAAUCAUUUUUCAACGCACGUACUUCCAUUUGAGAUUUACAAGAUUCUUCGGUGAUCUAUAUUUGUUUGCUUGAAAUGGAAGACAAUGCCUUGAGGUUGAAGAAUUAUGAUUAACUUCAUUGCAAAUACACUUCUCACCAUCAAUUCCAUCUAGACAGUUCAAUGAAUUUUUAUAAAUAUCUUUUUGAGUAAUUUCAAAGCAAGGACAUAUUUUAUUUUUGCAUUCUUCUUGUCACAUGUUGAAAUUGACAUUUGAAAUAUAUUUUCAAAGUUUUCGUUUAGGGUAACCUUCACCCUUUUAAUACAUUUCAAACAAAAAAUAUUUUGUCAUUCGAAAUAUUCUCCACAAACUCAAAUUAGGAACGUGUUUUACCGCAUAGCUCUUGUAACUUUUUUUUCCUACAAAAGUACUUGAUUUGGGAAAGAUUUUUCCUAGUAUAUAAACAAGACAAAUAUGAUAAAUUAAUAAGUGAAUUAAACUUAUCAAUCAUAGUGUAAAAAUUGUAACGUAUUUAACAAUUGUGAAAAUGUCACUAUAAGCAUGAGUAAACGAAUUCAUGAAAUAGACUUUCCUUUAUUGAAAUAGUAUUGAGCAUCACUUUCAUUAUCAAUUGCUUCGUUAACUAUCCCUACUUGAAGUAGGUAGCUUUGCAUUACUUUCCACAGGCUAAGGUAAUAAUGUUUUCCAAUGGACUCUGAUUUAGAAGUCAAGUAGAAAACUUUGAAAACUUUUUUUAUGACUUUUUCCUCCACUUCUAUAAGUUUCUUUCAUUGAUCAAUUUUUGGUAUAUUUUCAUCCUCUACUUCAUAAUUUUUCGUAAAUAUUUUCUCAAAGACUGCUUCAAAUAAAUUAUCGGCUUUCUUUGCAUAUAGUAGAGUCUAACAAGUAAAAGAAGACCAACGAGAUAUUACAUGUUGGGGAACAAUGCAAGGUAAACAAUGUCAUUUGCAAGAAACCUUUUACUCAUGUCAAGGUAUAUAUUUUUAGCAACAAAAUCGAAUCGCUAGCUUUUGUUGUUAGCUAAUCAAAGAAGGAAAAAAAAUAAGGAAAUCAUUAUGUGAAUUUUAAAGUCAUUGUUAAUUACUUAUCUCGUGUAGCUCGCCAUUUGCAAAGAGUCUUUUACUUGUGUCAAGGUGUAAAUAUCCGGUAGCAAAAACAUUAUGACUGUCUUUUGUUGUUAGCUAAUUAAGGAAAACAUGAGAAAGUCAUUUUGUGAUUUGAAGAAGAAAAAAAUGGAGUCCAAUAAACUUUAUAAAAUCAUGAUUUACUUCUUUGGAGAGAUCAAAUUCAACUUCAAGUUUUUUUGCAAUCUCUUGAGCGUUCUUGAACGUGAUAUGCGCUUUGAAAUUCAUUUCAUGAUUGUGUGACCCGAUCAUUGGGAAAUAUAGGUUUCGUAGAAAUCUUGUAAAACACAUGAGUUUUCUUUAAGUCCAUCUUCCCAAGCACUCAAGUUUGUAAGAUUUCGAUCUACCUCAAAGAACACACCGUGCACAAAAGAAACACAUGGGGUUCAUUGAGUCUUCGAGUCAACCAUAGUGAUGACAAUCAUUCCUUAACUUUAAUUGCUAUAGAUUAUAUGUUCAAAAAAAUAAAAUAUACCUUCAAUUGUGAUAAAUCUAUAAUAUUAAAAAGAAGUAUUAUGGUAUUACUUUCCAAUAUUCAAAUGUCAGGAAUGUCGUUAUCUUUGUAAAUAUUUUGCCACAACUUUAAGAAACCUUUGAAGAUUUGUUGUUUAAUAUGUAAAGUAAAAUAAAAUGCAAGCAUAAAGAUUGAAACUUUUAGUUCCUCACCCUUUGGAUGAGUGUUUUCAUAUAAUUUGGAACCAUAAUUGUAGUCUAUGAGGCAAUAUCAACAUACAUUAAAUAUUAGUUGUAUCCGUUUAAUGACAAACUAGUCCCACACUCGUGCGAUGCACAGGUGUUAUGUGAUAUUUUAUAUUAUAAUGUUGAAAAAUUAUUCGUAUAAAUUGUAACAAUAAGUAUUAUAAAAUGAAAAUUAUAAUAAUAAUAAUAAUAAUAAUAAUAAUAAUAUAAAAGUGAUGUACUUAUCNNNNNNNNNNNNNNNNNNNUGCAACGCAUAGGCGACACACUAAAAUUGAAUGAAAUAUGAUAAUGAUAAUGAUUAUUAUAUAUUUCAAUUUCAUAACCUAACUUUUUGCAUAACCUUCACUCUUCUCUAAAAUUAUAAUGUUUGUAACUUAAAAAAAUAAAAUAAAUAAAUAAAAAAACAUCAACUGAAGUGAAAGUGAAACACAAAGUACACACACAUGUAAGUGACUUUGGUACUAAAGAAAACAAAAUAAAAAGGCUACUCGCACAAAGUACACCCGGAAGUUACUAAGUUGUUACUUUGACUUUGGCAAAUCAAGCCACUCGCUCGCACGCACGCACUUUCUUCUCUUCUCUUCCUUACUAGUCCCACACCCGUGCGAUGCACAGGUGUUAUGUGAUAUUUUAUAUUAUAAUGUUGAAAAAUUAUUCGUAUAAAUUGUAACAAUAAGUAUUAUAAAAUGAAAAUUAUAAUAAUAAUAAUAAUAAUAANNNNNNNNNNNNNNNNNNNNNNNNNNNNNNNNNNNNNNNNNNNNNNNNNNNNNNNNNNNNNNNNNNNNNNNNNNNNNNNNNNNNNNNNNNNNNNNNNNNNNNNNNNNNNNNNNNNNNNNNNNNNNNNNNNNNNNNNNNNNNNNNNNNNNNNNNNNNNNNNNNNNNNNNNNNNNNNNNNNNNNNNNNNNNNNNNNNNNNNNNNNNNNNNNNNNNNNNNNNNNNNNNNNNNNNNNNNNNNNNNNNNNNNNNNNNNNNNNNNNNNNNNNNNNNNNNNNNNNNNNNNNNNNNNNNNNNNNNNNNNNNNNNNNNNNNNNNNNNNNNNNNNNNNNNNNNNNNNNNNNNNNNNNNNNNNNNNNNNNNNNNNNNNNNNNNNNNNNNNNNNNNNNNNNNNNNNNNNNNNNNNNNNNNNNNNNNNNNNNNNNNNNNNNNNNNNNNNNNNNNNNNNNNNNNNNNNNNNNNNNNNNNNNNNNNNNNNNNNNNNNNNNNNNNNNNNNNNNNNNNNNNNNNNNNNNNNNNNNNNNNNNNNNNNNNNNNNNNNNNNNNNNNNNNNNNNNNNNNNNNNNNNNNNNNNNNNNNNNNNNNNNNNNNNNNNNNNNNNNNNNNNNNNNNNNNNNNNNNNNNNNNNNNNNNNNNNNNNNNNNNNNNNNNNNNNNNNNNNNNNNNNNNNNNNNNNNNNNNNNNNNNNNNNNNNNNNNNNNNNNNNNNNNNNNNNNNNNNNNNNNNNNNNNNNNNNNNNNNNNNNNNNNNNNNNNNNNNNNNNNNNNNNNNNNNNNNNNNNNNNNNNNNNNNNNNNNNNNNNNNNNNNNNNNNNNNNNNNNNNNNNNNNNNNNNNNNNNNNNNNNNNNNNNNNNNNNNNNNNNNNNNNNNNNNAUGAAAAUGAUAUAAUAUAAGGAAGUGAUGUGGCAUUAUUGUGUGAUUUAAUUGGAUGUAAAUGAGUGAUGUGGAUUAGGGUUAAGAUGGAUAGUAGGAGAACUAUCUAGGAAUUAUAUAUAUAGAUAUAUCCCCGUGGAUUUCCACGACACAAUCAUUAACCACGUGUGUGAAGAAAUUGUUGAACGAGUUUUUAUCAACCAAAAUCGAUACACCGUUGAGGAGCAUGUUGUGUUCCUCACCCUUUUGAUGAGUGUUUUCAUAUAAUUUGGGACCAUAGUUGUAGUCUAUGAGACAAUAUCAACAUAUAUUUUAUAUUAGUUGUGUCAGUUUAAUGGCAAAUAUAUCCCCUUGGAUUUCCACGACACAAUCAUCAACUACGUGUGUGAAGAAAUUGUUGAACGACUUUCUAUCAAUAAAAAUCGAUACAUCGUUGAGGAGCAUGUUGUGUUCCUCACCCUUUUGAUGAGUGUUUUCAUAUAAUUUGGGAUCAUAGUUGUAGUCUAUGAGGCAAUAUCAACAUAUAUUAUAUAUUAGUUGCAUCCGUUUAAUGACAAAUAUAUCCCCUUGAAUUUCCACGACACAAUCAUCAACCAUGUGUGUGAAGAAAUUGUUGAACAAGUUUCUAUCAACCAAAAUCGAUAUAUCGUUGAGAGCAUGUUGUGUUCCUCACCCUUUGGAUGAGUGUUUUCAUAUAAUUUGGAACCAUAGUUGUAGUUUAUAAGGCAAUAUCAAGAUAUAUUAUAUAUUAGUUGUAUUUGUUUAAUGACAAAUAUAUCCCCUUGGAUUUUCACGACACAAUCAUCAACCACGUGUGUGACGAAAUUGUUGAACGAGUUUCUAUCAACCAAAAUCGAUACACCGUUGAGGAGCAUGUUGUGUUCCUCACCCUUUUGACGAGUGUUUUCAUAUAAUUUCACUGUAAACAACAAUCGUGUAUCAAAAAAAUGAUGGAAAAGAAUAAGAAGAAAAUAAAUAUAUUUUGUAAGCAGAUAUAUCACAUAUAAUUCAAUUUGAACCUCUAAACACUUUUCAACGCACAUACUCCCAUUUGAGAUUUACAAGAUCCUUCAUUGACCCAUAUUUGUUUGCUUGAAAUGGAAGACAAUGCCUUGAUGUUGAAGAAUUUUGAUUAACUUCAUUGCAAAUAGACUUCUCACCGUCAAUUGCAUCUAGACAGCUCGAUGAAUUUUUUUAAAUAUCUUUUUUGAGCAAUUUUAAAGCAUGGACAUGUUUUAUUUUUGCGACAUAUUUUAUUUUUGCAUUCUUCUAGUCACGUGUUGAAAUUGGCAUUUGAAAUAGAUUUCCAAAGUUUUCAUUUAGUGCAACCUUCACCAUUUUAAUACAUUUCGAACAACAAAAUGUUUUGUCAUUCGAAAUCUUAUCAAUAAACUCAAAUCAUAUAAGCAUGAGUAAACGAAUACAUGAAAUAGAAACUUUCCCUUAUGAAAUAGUAUUGAGCAUCACUUUCAUUAUCAAUUGCUUCGUUAACUAUCCCUACUUGAAGUGUGCACUCAAGGUAGCUCUGCAUUACUUUCCACGGACUGAGGUAAUAAUGUUUUCCAAUGGACUCUGAUUUAGAAGUCUAGUAGAAAACUUUCAUUAUGACUUUUUCAUCCACUUCUAUAAGUUUCUUUCAUUGAUCAAUUUUUGGUUUAUUUUCAUCCUCUACUUCAUAAUUUUUCGUAAAUAUUUUCUCAAAGACUGCUUCAAAUAAAUCAUCAGCUUUCUUUGCAUAUAAUAGAGUCUAACAAGUAAAAGAAGACCAACUAGAUAUUACAUGUUGGGGAACAAUGCAAGCUAAACAGUGCAUGUAACUCGCCAUUUGCAAGAAACCUUUUACUCAUGUCAAGGUAUAUAUUUUUAGCAACAAAAAUCGAAUUCGCCAUUUUAAAGUCAUUGUUAAUUACUUAUCUCAUGUAGCUCGCCAUUUGCAAAGAGUCUUUUACAUCCACAGCGCAAACAUUAUGAUUGUCUUUUGUUGUUAGCUAAUUAAGGAAAAUAUGAUAAAGUCAUUUUGUGAUUUGAAGAAAUAAAUUGAGCCGAAUAAACUUUAUAAAAGGAUGACUUACUUCUUUGGAAGGAUCAAAUUCAACUUCAAGUUCUUUUGCAAUCUAUUGAGUGUUCUUGAACGUGAUAUGCGCUUUGGAAUUCAUUUCAUGAUUGUGCGACCCGGUCAUUGGAAAAUAUAAGUUUUGUAGAAAUCCUUGUAAAGCACGUGAGUUUUGUUUAAGUUUUCUUUAAGUCCAUCUUCCCAAACACUCAAGUUUUCAAUAUCUCGAUCUAUCUCAAAGAACACACCGUGCAAUAGUGUUUUAAAAACCGGACCGGACAUCGAACCGAUGAGGGUACUGGUUCACUGGUUCAUUGGUCGAACCACUGGGUCACUGGUCGAACCGCAUGACAAAUCGGAUUAAACCGGAUUAAAUCGGUGGAAUGAACCGGUCUCUAUAUAGUUAUUGAACCGGUCGCUAUAUAGUUAAAAAAAAUCAUUGUUACUUUUUUUUUCCCCUUAGAUCUUUCAUUGUUACUUAGGCCCCAUUUGACCUUAUUUAUUUUCUACUUUUCUAUUUCUUUACUUUAUUUCGGUAAUUUUUUUAAAGAGAAAUAGAGCAAAAUACAAUUUUAUACUUCUCUAUUUCUUUUAAGGAGAAGUAGAAAAGUAGAAAAUAAGUAAGCCAAACGAAGCGUAUUAUUAUUAGAAAGACACACUUUCGUAGAUAAUAAAUAAAAUAAAAUCAGUGACAUAAUAUUAAAUGAAGUCUUGUGGUGAGAGGUUUAUAUAUACUCCGUAUGAAUGAAGUCUUGAGUUCGAUCAUCAACUUCAUUGUAAACAAAAAAGUGAGAGUUGNNNNNNNNNNNNNNNNNNNNNNNNNNNNNNNNNNNNNNNNNNNNNNNNNNNNNNNAACAAUAAACAAAAUAUGAAGUUUAUCUAAAAAAUAUAAAAAUAAAAAAAUCAAAAGUAAUUGUGUAAUUAAAGAUCAAAAUUUAUGUGGAAAGUUGUUUUCAUCCAAUAAGUAGAAGACUAUAUGUUGUAAUAUAUAAAAUAAAAUGUAAAUUUAUUAACAAGUAACAUUUGUAGCAUAGUGGUAGCAAACCUUUACUUUUAUCUAAAGGUCAAAGGUUCAACACUCAUCGGUGCCACUUUUCUAAUAUUUUUACACAUUAAAUGAAAACACAUGUUAUGCCAAAAAAAAUGGAAUAACUUGAUUUUAAAAAAAAUAAAAUAACAUAAAAAUCUCAACUUUAAUUGUCAACCAUAGCGAUGGCAACCAUUCCUCAACUUUAAUUGUCUUCAAUUUAAAAUCUCAAUCGCUACACCCUAUGCAACUUCGGAGAGUUCAACAAAGCGCUAAAUAAAUAACAUAAAAAAGCGAUACAAAACAAUAUUAUAUGUUAAAAAAAAUAAAAUAUACCUUCAAGUGUGAUAAAUCUAUGACAUUAAGAAGAAUUAUCAUAGUAUUAUUUUGAAACUCAUAUGUCCCUUUNNNNNNNNNNNNNNNNNNNNNNNNNNNNNNNNAUCCGGCCUUAGGACCGACUAAUCCAAGGGGACCAAUCUCACCGCCCACUUGCGGGAGCCCCAUUUAAAGCCAGAGUUUUUUUGCUCUGUAUGGUCAUAUGUCUCUUAUUUGAUGUCAUCAACAACUUUACAUAUGUUUACCGGAAAUUUCAAAGCAUCCUCAAAAUCAUAUAAUAUUGUUUGUAAGAUAAAAAAGCAUGCACAUAUAUUUCAAAGAAUUAGGAGAAAUAAAAUACAUAAUUUUUUUAAAAUAAUUAAAAAACACAUUGACAAAAUAAGUGGUAACAAGAUUUAUACCAUCGAAUAAGGUUCGGUUUCCUAAAGACAUGAUGCUCGAAGGCAAUAUGCCGCACAUAAAUGAAGAGAAAGAUUGAUUAAACGUGAGUCAUUCUUUAGAACUUCAAGAUACAUUUUUAUGGUCAUUGUCAUUUGGUUUAUGCACUCAUCUACAUUAUCAUUAUAAUUUGAUUUCUUUUCAUUCCUUAUUGAAACUCUUGCAUCUUCAAACAACUUAUUUCUCCCCUCUACUGAAAUAACAUAACAUAAACAAAGUGAUUGUGUAACAUAAACAAAGUGAUUGUUAUUAUCAAUAGUCAACUAUAAAAGCAAUUGAAGAGUGACAUAUUAACGGUUUAUGACCACAACAUAAAUCAAUAGUCGAAUCAAGUUCGGUUUCCUGAAUACAUGAUGCUCGAAAGCAAUAUACCGCACAAAAAUGAAGGUAAAAAUUGGUUAAACGUGAGUCAUUCUUUAGAACUUCAAUAUAUAUUUUUAUGACCAUUGUCAUUUGGUUUAUGCACUCAUCUACAUUGUCAUUAUAAUUUGAUUUGAAGAAAUAAGUCAUUUUGUGAUUUGAAGAAAUAAAUGGAGUCGAAUAAACUUUAUAAAAUGAUGGCUUACUUCUUUGGAGAGAUCAAAUUCAAAUUCAAGUUCUUUUGCAAUCUCUUGAGUGUUCUUGAACGUGAUAUGCGCUUUGGAAUUCAUUUCAUGAUUCUGCGACUCAGUCAUUGGGAAAUAUAAGUUUUGUAGAAAUCCUUGUAAAACACGUGAGUUUUCUUUAAGUCCAUCUUCCCAAGCACUCAAGUUUGCAAUAUCUCGAUCUACCUCAAAGAACACACCGUGCAUAGAAGAAACACAUAGGGGUUCAUUGAAUCUUCGUGUCAACCAUAGCGAUGACAACCAUUCCUCAACUUUAAUUGUCUUCAAUUUGAAAUCUCAACUGCUGCACCCUAUGCAAGUUCGGAAAGUUCAACAAAGCGCUAAAGAAAUAACAUAAAAAUCAAAACUCCUAAAAAUCUUAUGUAAAAGUGAUACAAAGAGUAAUGCUAUAUGUCCCGAAAAAUAGAUCCCGAAAAACUCACGAAUAGCUUUUUUAAUAUAUUUUUUUUUAAUGAAAAUUAAAAAGAAAAUAGGAAAAACAACAAACAACCAAAAAAACCACCGCCAUGUUUCUUGUAAACACCUUCCAAAGGAUUGUUACUUUUUAUUCCAGGAAAAUCUUGAUCAAAAUUAUCUAUUCAAAAACAUAAAAUCUAAUUUCAAACACUUUAGUUUCUUUGAACCAUAGCUACCACUUAUCAGUAUCACUCAGUGGUGGAGGAUCUGCAAAAUCAGAAACAACUGUGAAAGUAUAUAACCAAACUUAUCUCUAAGAAUGGUUGUCGGUGAUAGCUACUGCCAUGAAUUCAUGGAUGAUUAUGAAGCGGCAAUAAAUAAAGAAUAUGAUAAAUACAUAUUUGCUCGCACCAGAGAAAGAGAACUAAUUGAAUUCAUUAGGUUGUUUUGUACCAAAAAAGAACAAGUCAGUUAACAAAAAAAAAUCAGUGCCAAGUCAUUCGGGAAGAUUUCGUGAGUGGGUUUUCGGGAGAUACAGCAUUUUCCGUGAUACAAAACAAUAUUAUAUGUUAAAAAAAUAAAAUAUACCUUCAAGUGUGAUAAAUCUAUGACAUUAAGAAGAAUUAUCAUAGUAUUGUUUUAAAACUCAUAUGUCUCUUAUUUGAUGUCAUAAACAACUUUACAUAUGUUUACCGAAAGUUUCAAAGCAUCUUUUCAAAAUCAUAUAAUAUUUUUUGUAAGAUAAAAAAGCUUGCACAUAUAUUUCAAAGAAUUAGGAGAAAUAAAAUACAUACAUUUUUUAAAAUAAUUAAAAAACACAUUGACAAAAUAAGUGGUAACAAGAUUUAUACCAUCGAAUAAGAUUCGGUUUCCCGAAGACAUGAUGCUCGAAGGCAACAUGCCGCACAUAAAUGAAGAGAAAGAUUGGUUAAACGUGGGUCAUUCUUUAGAACUUCAACAUACAUUUUUAUGGCUAUUGUCAUUUGAUUUAUGCACUUAUCUACAUUGUUAUUAUAAUUUGAUUUCUUCCAAUUCCUUAUCGAAGCUCUUGCAUCUUCAAACAACUUAUUUCUCCUCUCCAUUGAAAUAACAUAACAUAAACAAAGUGAUUGCAUAACAUAAACAAAGUGAUUGUUAUUAUCAAUAGUCAACUAUAAAAACAUUGGAAGAGUGACAUAUUGAAGGUUUAUGACCACGACAUAAAUCAAUAAUCGAAUAAAGUUCGGUUUCUUGAAGACAUGAUGCUCGAAAUCAAUAUGCCGCACAUAAAUGAAGAUAAAAAGUGAUUAAACGUGGGUCAUUCUUUAGAACUUCGAGAUACAUUUUUAUGGUCAUUGUCAUUUGGUUUGUGCACUCAUCUACAUUGUCAUUAUACUUUGAUUUCUUUCCAUUCCUUACUGAAGCUAUUGCAUCUUCAAACAACUUAUUUCUCCCCUCCACUAAAAUAGCAUAACAUAUACAAAGUGAUUGUAUAACGUAAACAAAACGAUUGUUAUUAUCAAUAGUCAACUAUAAAAGCAAUGGAAGAGUGACAUAUUGAAGGUUUAUGGCCAGAGCAUAAAUCAUUCAAAUUUUUUUCUAAAAGCCAAAGAAGUAUUUUAUUAAAAAUAAAAAGAGUGACAUAUCUCCAUAAGUCAUAGUUCAACUAUCAAAAUCUUGUCGAAAUUGGUAAGAGUUCAAAUUUCGGCUCUCUUACGUAUGUGUGCGAGUUUACGAUGGAUUUGUCAUUUGGUCUAUAUGCUAAAAACAAAAAGUGGCAUGUGAUGGGCCAAAUGCACUCAAAAACUUCACAGACAACCAACAAACAAUUUUAAAAGAAAGAAAGAUAAAAAGAAACUUUUAAAUGAGAAAAAAAUGGGGGGAAUUGGAAGAACAAACAAAACUCACUCGUUAAUUGAAGUGGUGUUGGUAGCCAGUUGAGGAGGUUUCUUUGAUUGUUGUUCGCUGUCUGUGGGACUGUGCAGAUAUCGUUGUUGUACUUGUGUUAUAGACGUGGUUGUAUUAUUUUUGAGGGGGUGUUGUUUUUUUGUUCUAAUGGAUAUGUCUUAGUUAGUUAUAAUGUUUUAGUGUUUUAUUUUGAAGCUUUGUUGUUUUUGUGCUUUGGUAGAAAAGAAAGAAUGAAAAAAUUGUUGGAAAUUUGAAUUGGAAUAGGCUUAAGCUGACUAUGGUACAUGGUUUCGGUAGAAAUAUGAGAGAAGUAGAUGAAAUGUAAAAAUGGCGAAUAAACUGACAUGCUUCAGACACUCACACACAACUUUCAACAAGUUUUUUUUCCUUCUUUCAUUAGCCUUUUGAUUUUCAGGGAAGUAAUCUAGAAUUCGGUCGCGAGGUUAAGAAAGUUUGAUUAAGAAUUGUUUUCACAAAAAAUCGAAUUCAAAUUAUUUCAUUCAUCUUAAGGGGAACUCAUUAACUUAGUAUGCAAUCAAUGUAGUAUUACCUAUGCAUUCAGAUUUCUUGAGAGGCUGCCUACUAAAGUUUUGCCUUAUGUGGAUAUGAACUUUGUUGUUUCCGAACCCUUGUUGGUGGAUGGUGUUAUGUAUCUGCUUCAUGCUAUGCAAUUUGAAUAACUCAAUGUUAAGACUACCUGAGAAUUUUAGAAAGUGUUCAUAGUUUAAAAAUAUUACUUUUGAGUUUAACAACUAUGAAAUCCCUAUAAGAAAGCAACUACCUAAUUUGACACUUGAACCAUGUUAGCUUCAUGUUUUUUUAGAUACACUAAUCAUAUUUCACAUGAUGAUGUUAUGAAAAUUGUGGACUAGUUUUUUUUUUCUGUAGCAACUGUUGUUCCUGAAGGUAGAGCUGUCAAAUGGGCUAGCCCGGCCCAGCCCGACCCAGUGGGCCAGACUAUAUAUAUGAGCUAGUUCGGCCCAACCCAAUUUUUAUUGGGCUACAUAUUUAUUAGCCCGGUCUGGCCCUUAUGGGCCAUGUGGGCUAAUGGUCUAGCCCGACCCAUUUCAUUUUAUUUUUCCCCAGUUAUUCGAUCUUUUCCCCAUAUAAUUGUAUGUCAGUGUAAAUAAUUUUUACAUCAGCACUAAUUAUCAAUUAAACUCAAGUUUAAUUCUUAUAAAAGAAAUUAAAUCAAAUUAAUAAAUUAUAAAUUAAUUUUUUAAAAAGUUUUAGGUAAGUAUGACCCUUUUUAUUAUGCUUACACAUUUAAUUAUAUUUUUUAUAAUAACCUUUCAAUCACAUGAUAAUUUUUUACGUUUUUAAUUGAUAUUAUUUUUACAAAAAUGACAUAAUUUUUUCGUUAAUGGCCGGCCCAAAGCCCGACGGGCUAGCCUGGUCCAACCCAAUUUUUCAUUUGGGCUAAUGGGAUUGGGCCAAAAAGGAACGGUUUUAUUUGGGCUAGGAUUUUUGAGGCCCGAUCCGCCCAAGCCCAAGGGCCCGCCCAUUAGCCCGACCCAUUUUUGACAACUCUCCCUGAAGGUAGGGGUGGACAACGGGCUGGGCCGGUUCGGUCCCAAAAGCCUAGUCCGACCCAACCCACGGGUGCAAUACACUUCGACCCAUAAGAAUGAGACAUUCUUCCAAAUCAUAUUAAGAAAGUGGGAUUUAGUGUGGCGAUGUGGCGAAAAUUAUGGUUGACAUUGGUUGACAGUGUAAAAUUAAUUUUACACAGUCAGUACAUAUUCUUUUUUCUCUAAAGUUAAACAUAAAAAAUGAAAAACUAAAUCUAUUUUUUUAUCACAAGAAAUUUACAGAUUGUGCUCCAAAUCAAGAUAGAGAAAAAUCUCACGGCUCAAAGAAUAUCUGCAGAUAUAUUUACAUUUACUUCCAUAUAAAAACACUAGUUGGACUCGAACAUAAAACUUCUCAAAUUUUAAAACAUGUCAUUUUACCACUAGAUUAAUUAUUUGGAGGUAAGUGCAUAACUCAACUAAUUUGAGCCAAAAAUUAAUACAAAUUCUAAAUUCACAUUCAAAAUGUUAACGUUCAAAACAAUUUUAUUUAUUUGAUUUUGCUUGAUCAGUCAAAUUCUUUGGAUAAUUUAUUUGAGUUUUAUCCUCAAUAUGAUUGUGGUAAAAAAGAGCCCAAUACCAUAAAAUACCAAAAUUCAGCAUAAAAUAUACAUUAAAUAUAUCAAUUAUUAAUAAAUUUUAAAAAUGUGUUGAUUCUUAUAAAAAUAACAAGAGAAAUAAUAAAAAUAAAGAUGUCAAAUUGUCGAUGUAAAAUCAUAAUAGGUAAGCCAUUCUCAAAGUUUCUCCAAUAUUUUUUCUUCUAUUUAACCGUCCUAAUAAUUCCAAUCCCUAUUGUACAUUGAGUCUCACUCAGAAACCAAUGAAGAAGAAUCAAAGAAAGCACAAAAAGGGUUGUUUGUUGAACCUUUAAUUUUGUAUGGUCUACAAUCUAGAAUCAUUCAACUUCAAAACAAUUGUCCUAUACUCCUAUGCCUAGUCAAAUCCCAGCAUUCUCAUAACUGACCCCAAAUAUACGUUUGGCCUCCUCUGACCGUAACCAACGUUAACUGUUUAUAUUUAUUUAAUAGUACCAUUACUACCAAUUAAUUAAAUAAACUUAUAUAGGUCCAAUGAAUGAAGAUUGACUCAUAUCUGAGCAAAUCUCAAAUACUAUAAGCAAAAAUUAGUAUUAAAUCCAUCAACUUUUAUUUUUUUUAUUUUUUUGCUUAUAUCAGUUUUCUACCAAAAAAAAGAGUAGUAUUCCAAAAGGGUGAAAAUUCAACUUCCACGGUUGGCGAGCAAACUUUUUUUUUUUUUUUAUUGUCGAGUAGUCUAAAUUUUGGCAAAAUUAUAUUGCAGAUCUAUUCCUAUUUAUUUGUAAUAAUUUGAUCAUUUAUCUUAUUUAUUUGUAAUAGUUUGGUCAUUUAUUUUUUUUUGUAACACUAUGAUCCUUUAUUAUUUUUUAUUUGUAACAUUUAGGUCUUUUAUUUUUAUAAAUAAAUAAGACAAUGACCAAAAUGUUACAAAAAAAAUACUAAAGUGUUACAAAUAAAAAAGAUAAAGACCAAAGUGUUACAAAUAAAAGAUAAAUGACCAAAAUAUUACAAAAAAAAAGAUAAAAGACCAAAGUGUUUAAAAAAUAAGAUAAAUGACCUGCAUGGUAAUUUUACCCUAAAUUUUUUAUCUUUAAUGUAGACAAGUGGGAUGACCCAAAUUUGAACUACAGUCCCCUGCAUAUAUAAUAAAAUGUAUCUGCUAACAUAGCUAAACUCACGGGACGACAUGCAAACUUUUCUUUUGUCAAGUAGCCCAGUGACGAAAAAUUUCAGUCAUAAGAUGGAUACAUAAAAUGACUGGGAUUCGAACCCCAAUCUCCUGCAUAUAUAAUGUAACGUUCCUCUACCGAAAGAAUCCUAAAAAUCCAACUCACAUAAAAUUUUCUAUGCAAAAUAAUAAAAUAAAAGAAUAAAAAAUAACCGUAUCCAAGGACCAGGAUUUUUUAAUUUUUUUAUCAAAGCAGGACCAGAUACAUAGAUACACAAAAUUGAAUUGAAAAAUGAAUGAAUAAAAUUGUGAUUAAUAAAUAAAUAAGAUUUGGUUUUGGAUUUGGAAUUUGACAGGAGAAGAGACAAGUGGACCUAGUAGAUGGAUUUUGCAAAGAUUUCUUAGAUUUGGAUCCUCCGAAUCUUAUACCUUUAUUAAUUUUCUUUACCCUUUUCUGCCUUUUCAAAUUUCAAUUUAGCCCCACAAAUCAGUUUACUUUUAUUUUUCUUAUUUUUCAUCAUCCUUCUGGUUUCUAGUAGAAGGGGACUCUAGUAGUUCAGAGUUCGGGACGAGUUGUGACACUAAGUGAUUUUAGUCCCUUCCUAAAUGCAGUGAAGAUGGAUCAAACCGUGAUACUCCCUACUAAGUACAGCGUCAAUCACCGCCGAACCACUUAACAUUUGAUUUUAUUUUUCUUUUAUUUCAUUUUUACUAUUUUAUUACUAUUACUAUUAUUAGCACGCGUCCUUUAUUUUUCUCUUUCCUAAAUAUCAUGUAAAUAUAACCCCCACUCUUUCAUUUUCCAUUUUCACUCACACAACUCUUGUGUUUUUUAUUUUCAGUUAUUUCUUAUAACAAUAAAAAUUUCGGAGAAUUUGAAAAAAACAAAAAAUUCAUUUGAGAAUUUUUGAGUUUAUCAGUUUGUUAUGGCUGCCGCCGGCGAGAUUUUCCGGUCGAAUUUGACUGAAUUGUUGGAGGAAUCACAUUCAGGUGAUAAUGAAUUACACGUGCUUGCUGUUGAUGAUAGUCUUGUUGAUCGUAAAGUCAUUGAACGUUUGUUGAAGAUUUCUUCAUGCAAAGGUAUAAUAAUGAUCGUAAAGUCAUAGAGAAUUCAAUGUUUUUUUGUGAUUUUUUUGUUUGGAAUUGAUUCUGAAAGUGUGUUUGGAAUUGGAUUUUGUUGUUGUUUUCAGUUACGGUUGUGGAGAGUGCAAGAAGAGCUCUUCAGUUUUUGGGAUUGGAUGGAGAUGGAGAGAAUAGUGAUAUUGGAUUUGAUGUAAGCAAAUUCUGUUUUUGGAUUCUAAAUUGUGUUUGGUUAUAUGAAGUUCAUACAAGACACACGGACACUCUAACAUGUCGACACUGAUAAUAAUUUGACAAAAUGACGUAAUUCAAUGUAAUCAUAUGUGUCAGUGUUAGACAUUGACGCCGACGCACAUCUAAUAUGAGGAGUGUUCCUGUUUCAUAGGUUUGAAUAUUGGAAAUUAGAUUGGAUUGGUGCUGAUGUUGUUAUUUUGUUUGAUUUGUUAUGGUGGCAGGGUGUGAAGGUUAAUUUGAUAAUGACCGAUUAUUCGAUGCCUGGGAUGACAGGAUAUGAACUAUUGAAGAAAAUCAAGGUGGUUAUUUAUUGGUUGUUGAUUUUAAUAUGUUGCUGAAUUUCUUUAUUUGAAUUGUUGAUUAUGGAAUUAUGUUGUAUUGUAUGUAAAGUUUUGUUUUGAAAUUGUGUAUUGGAGGAAGGUGGUUCUUAUUAGUCUCUACCUGUUUGUGUUAAUUUCAGCAGGAGUCUUCUGUUUUUAGGGAGAUUCCAGUGGUGAUCAUGUCGUCGGAGAAUGUUUUGACUCGAAUUGAUAGGUAAGAAAUUGAAUGAAUAUUACAUCUGAAACAUGACAAUUUCUCGUCAAUAAUAUAUGCAUAUUUGGACAUUAAAUGAUGAACUAUUGAAUCCAAUCUAAAGUUAAGUUCAUAUUGAAUUCCCUAAAGUUUAUAAAUUCUAAUCAGGAAAUAUGCAUACAAUUUGCCACCUAAUCUGGAAAUAAAUUCAUUGUAUGGAUCACAAAUAUUAUCCUAUGGAGGCACGAAUGUUAUGUGUUAACUGUUUAAGCUCCCAGUGUUUUUCACUCAGGCUUAUACUAUAAGCCAUGUCUUGAUUAACACCAAGAAUGGAUGAAGUGAUUGUAGAGAUGCAAGAGACUACUCAGUUCUACAUAAUUAUUAACAACCUAAAAAACAUUUAUAGACUAUUUGGUAAACUAUUGAUGCAUGAAGUUUCUGUGCUGUUAUGUGGCUGGCACUACUAUUUUUAGUCCUGCUUCUUAAUGUUUUUAUUUUCACUCAUUUGCAGGUGCCUCGAGGAAGGAGCUGAGGAUUUUCUAUUGAAGCCAGUCAAGUUGUCAGAUGUAAGGCGCUUGAAAGAAUUUAUCAUGAGAGGCGAAGUGAAGGAUGGUGAGAAAAAUUCUCUCAAACGAAGGCGAUCAUCAGAUGAUUGCAGUCCAUCUCCUCUAUCAACGACAUUCUCACCAAUGCGUCAUUUGUGCGAUCCACCAUCAUCAGUGUUCUCACCACUCUCACCAUCCACAUUAUCCUCUAAGAAAUCUAGACUGUGAUAAGAGAUUGAUUAGUCUCCCAUAUGUCUCCAUUUUUGCAAUACUAAUGUCCAUAUUUUGAAUUUGUUAACCAGUUUAUACAGUUUGUACUCGGGAUUUUGAAUGACAAAGGGCAAUAUAUACCAGAAUCACUAUUUUUUGGCCUCUUAUUUGUUCACCGAUUUUGCUUCUAUGACUCUCACUAUAUUUCCACUUUUUGAACAAUUUUUGAAGAAUCAACUUAACAAAAGAUUAAAGAAGUCUUAAAACUUUGUGAAAUUCACAAGUUAAUAAAAUGGUAAAUAACUAAAUAUGAAUGGAAAGUAGUAACAUUAUAGUUAUAAUUUUGUUUGGCUUGCUUUAUUCUAAGUUUUACUCGCAUAAAAAAAGGACUACAUUGCAUCAAAGCUAAUCUAAAGCUUAAAGCUAGCAACUUAGCAAAUCUAAAUUCAAUGACAUUUUUUUGACCAAAAUUAAUCUGGUAUUUUCUUUAUUUACUUAAUUAUUGUUGUUUUAUAGAAACAUGUCUAAGAUAGUACUAUGGUCCAUGCUUUUAAGAAAUGGUCAGCAAAGGUGUUAUGGCUAUGUAUACACAAAAAAAAGGUGUUAUGGCUAUAAAGCUUGCAAUGCUUUUUGGUGCAGGAAUAUAUGUGUUCUUUCUAAGAAAAUGUCAGAGCAUUGUUUUGCUUUUUUUACUAAUCAACAAUAGGACCAAGAUUAUGUUCUCCCUUUAUAAGAGAGAUACACUACCACCAGGUCCACCACUACACUGUUUGAUCUAUUUGAAUGUUUGUGUAGAGGUAUUAGUAUCACCAUACUACUAUUAAUUGUUUUCUAAGAUUUCCAUUUUACUGUAGGAGGAGUAAACUUGAGCCAUAUUUUAGUAUACAUAUCAACAUAAAUACAAGCUUAUAAGGGCAUACCAGAUUGACAACAUUGAAGACUGAGUGAAGGUUUCAAGUGACUUUAAUCAAUUUGAAUGCAAGUUACCUCCCCUAGGUAAGUCAAUUGUGUCUGUGCUUAAUUUCUUGCUCGAAUGAAAUAUAAGCAAAAAAAAUUAAAAUGCAUUUGAUUCAAAUUUUGGACUAAAUACAUUUGACUUUUUAGAUAUUUUUGCUUAUAUUUCAUUUCAGAUGGUCUAAUUAGACAGUCAAUCUCGUCUUAAUUUAGCUUGCUAUCAUCACCGUUAGUAUGUACAAUUUGAAAUUAACUGUACUAAAUAUCUUACCAUUUUUAUAUGCUUGGUUCUUGAUCACACUAUAGUUUCAAAUUUUGAUUGCAACACAAUGUGUGCUAAAUGUGUUGAAAUAGUGACUUUUAUCAUAUUAUAGUCAAAUCAUAUUUCUUAAUUUCUUCUCAAUUCUCAUGUCAAAUUAUAAUCUUCUAAUUAUGGCAACCUGUUGUAUUUGCAGACUAUAUGAUGUAUGAAGUUGAGCAAAACAUAGGUUAUUUGAUCAAAGAAGAGGGAGAAGGAUCUUAUAGCAAUGCAAUGGAUGAGAAAAUUUAUCAAGCAAUUUAUCCUUUAGAUACUGAUCUAACUCAAGCAUUUAAUCCUUGAAUAUUUGAUUUUGAUGUAAUGAUAUUGACAUUAGUUGUUUUCGAUUGUUUUUUUUCCCUUAAUUUUUUUCUUUUGGUCUUAGAUAAAGUGAUAAUCCACUGAAAUUAAACUCGCAUAUAAUUGUGGGAUUUCGGGUUCGAACCCGGGUCACGACGUCCGGCUUAACAAUUUCGACAAUUUUGCCAAUUGAGCUAAUCUGCCACCUAAUCAGGAAAUAAAUUCAUUGUGUGGAUCACAAAUAUUAUCCUAUGGAGGCAUGAGUGUUAUGUGUCCACUGUUUAAGCUCCCAGUGUUUUUCACUCAGGCUUAUGCUAUAAGCCAUGUCUUGAUUAACACUAAGAAUGGAUGAAGUGAUUGUAGAGAUGCAAAAGACUACUUACUCAGUUCUACAUACUUAUUAACAACC